This 433-nucleotide ribosomal RNA is filed under the name uncultured bacterium. RNAcentral describes it as "partial 16S ribosomal RNA". It matches the Rfam family "Bacterial small subunit ribosomal RNA", at positions 29 to 507 of the family's 1533-position model. The record is from RNAcentral.
AACGAACGCUGGCGGCAUGCCUAACACAUGCAAGUCGAACGAGACCUUCGGGUCUAGUGGCGCACGGGUGCGUAACGCGUGGGAACCUGCCCUUAGGUUCGGAAUAACUCCCCGAAAGGGGUGCUAAUACCGGAUAAUGUCUUCGGACCAAAGAUUUAUCGCCUUUGGAUGGGCCCGCGUGGGAUUAGCUAGUUGGUAGGGUAAAAGCCUACCAAGGCGACGAUCCAUAGCUGGUCUGAGAGGAUGAUCAGCCACACUGGGACUGAGACACGGCCCAGACUCUUACGGGAGGCAGCAGUGGGGAAUAUUGGAAAAUGGGCGAAAGCAUGAACCAGCAAGGACGCGUGAGUGAUGAAGGCCUUAGGGUUGUAAAGCUCUUUUACCCGGGAUGAUAAUGACAGUACCGGGAGAAUAAGCACCGGCUAACUCCGUG